This 577-nucleotide ribosomal RNA is filed under the name Aspergillus spinulosporus. RNAcentral describes it as "eukaryotic LSU rRNA". It matches the Rfam family "Eukaryotic large subunit ribosomal RNA", at positions 56 to 650 of the family's 3401-position model. Lineage: Eukaryota; Fungi; Ascomycota; Eurotiomycetes; Eurotiales; Aspergillaceae. The record is from RNAcentral.
GAAAGAACCACCGGGAUUGCCUCAGUAACGGCGAGUGAAGCGGCAAGAGCUCAAAUUUGAAAGCUGGCYCCUUCGGGGUCCGCGUUGUAAUUUGCAGAGGAUGCUUUGGGUGCGGCCCCCGUCUAAGUGCCCUGGAACGGGCCGUCAGAGAGGGUGAGAAUCCCGUCUUGGGCGGGGUGYCCGUGCCCGUGUGAAGCUCCUUCGACGAGUCGAGUUGUUUGGGAAUGCAGCUCUAAAUGGGUGGUAAAUUUCAUCUAAAGCUAAAUACCGGCCGGAGACCGAUAGCGCACAAGUAGAGUGAUCGAAAGAUGAAAAGCACUUUGAAAAGAGAGUUAAACAGCACGUGAAAUUGUUGAAAGGGAAGCGCUUGCGACCAGACUCGCCCCCGGGGUUCAGCCGGCAUUCGUGCCGGUGUACUUCCCCGGGGGCGGGCCAGCGUCGGUUUGGGCGGCCGGUCAAAGGCCCCUGGAAUGUAUUACCCUCCGGGGUUCUCUUUUACCCUGGGUUCCAUUCCGCCAACCCGGAACGAAGAAAGCCCCUUCGCCCGGAACGUUGGCUUAUGGGUCUCAACCACCCC